Molecule: ribosomal RNA, 424 nt
Filed under: uncultured prokaryote
Description: bacterial SSU rRNA
Rfam family: Bacterial small subunit ribosomal RNA
Source: RNAcentral
UGGGGAAUCUUGGACAAUGGGCGCAAGCCUGAUCCAGCCAUGCCGCGUGGGUGAAGAAGGCCUUAGGGUUGUAAAGCCCUUUCAGUCGUGACGAUGAUGACGGUAGCGACAGAAGAAGCCCCGGCUAACUCCGUGCCAGCAGCCGCGGUAAUACGGAGGGGGCAAGCGUUGUUCGGAUUUACUGGGCGUAAAGGGCGCGUAGGCGGGCGAUCAAGUCAGAGGUGAAAGGCCUGGGCUCAACCUGGGACGUGCCUUUGAAACUGGGCGGCUAGAGAUCGGAAGAGGAGGGUGGAAUACCCAGUGUAGAGGUGAAAUUCGUAGAUAUUGGGUGGAACACCAGUGGCGAAAGCGGCUCUCUGGUCCGGAUCUGACGCUGAGGCGCGAAAGCGUGGGGAGCAAACAGGAUUAGAUACCCGCGUAGUCC